UUUAGAUAGUAUUCUACAGUC
This 21-nucleotide non-coding RNA is filed under the name Caenorhabditis elegans. The record is from RNAcentral. Lineage: Eukaryota; Metazoa; Nematoda; Chromadorea; Rhabditida; Rhabditidae.